This 497-nucleotide ribosomal RNA is filed under the name uncultured bacterium. RNAcentral describes it as "partial 16S ribosomal RNA". It matches the Rfam family "Bacterial small subunit ribosomal RNA", at positions 28 to 507 of the family's 1533-position model. The record is from RNAcentral.
GAUGAACGCUGGCGGCGUGCCUAAUACAUGCAAGUCGAGCGAACAGACGAGGAGCUUGCUCCUCUGACGUUAGCGGCGGACGGGUGAGUAACACGUGGAUAACCUACCUAUAAUACUGGGAUAACUUCGGGAAACCGGAGCUAAUACCGGAUAAUAUAUUGAACCGCAUGGUUCAAUAGUGUAAGACGGUUUUGCUGUCACUUAUAGAUGGAUCCGCGCCGCAUUAGCUAGUUGGUAAGGUAACGGCUUACCAAGGCAACGAUGCGUAGCCGACCUGAGAGGGUGAUCGGACACACCGGAACUGAGACACGGUCCAGACUACUACGGGAGGCAGCAGUAGGGAAUAUUCCGCAAUGGGCGAAAGCAUGACGGAGCAACGCCGCGUGAGUGAUGAAGGUCUUCGGAUCGUAAAACUCUGUUAUUAGGGAAGAACAAAUGUGUAAGUAACUAUGCACGUCUUGACGGUACCUAAUCAGAAAGCAACGGCUAACUACGUG